UGUAUUGGCCACUACUGGAGACUUAUCUGCUAACCAGACAGUAGCUGAUCCAGAUUGGCAGUGUGCAUAGCAAGAGUUUAUGAACAAUCCAUUUGAUGGUUUGCUGCCAGCUCCAAUGCUCAAAGCAUUUAAGAAUUGCAACCUGAAAUUGUGCACAGUUUUGAGUUGAGCAGCUGAGCACUUCUUUAAGUCAAGUUUGCAGCUCUUCCAGGUUCCUUUUGAAUCAACAGCACUGGGUGCCAGAACAUUCUUUAGCUGCCAGAAAUCAUAGGCUGAAUUAAUAACAAAAAGUGGAGUUUGCAUAGUCCGAGUUACAUAUUGUGGGAAGAAGCACAAUUCUGGUUUCAUUCUUGAUGUGCAAGAUGGAGGAAGACUCUUUACUGAUCCAUGUAAUCCAACUAUUCGACCGAAGAAUUUUUGGAUUUCAUACCCACCAGCAACAUCCUGUCCAUGAAUAAAAUAACCAGCAUCUGAAACACAUUUUACUUUAGCAGUUGCAGGCAGGAGAGAUUUGAAUUUGUCACAAUGCAAAAUAGCAGCCAAUCCACCAGCUGAGCAGCCGGAAAGAAUAGCAUUUUGAGCAUUUUUCAUCCCUUUCGCCAACAGAUCAUCAAUAACAGCCCACCAAAUCCUUUCUCCUCUGAAGUACAGUUUAGUUUUCGGAUCAACUCCUUCUACAUCACCAGUAAAUGAUGACCCAUCACAGUACUUAAUCUUGAUUCUAUUCCAGUUGUAAAAAUCAGGAUUAGCUGCUUGCUUUUUCCCUAGUAUACCAGAGAAACCCAUUGUCUUCUCCAUUUUCAAUGAUGAACCCUUGUAUGUGUUCUUUCUUUCCAGGCAGCUCUUUACAUCAUCACACCAUCCUCCUCCCUCCAUGUGAACUAUCCAGUUGUUAAUCCCAGAACCGUAUCCCUUAUCAAUGUGGUAAGCUGGUGGACUUCCAUCCAAGCAAACCGCUCCUCUAGCU
RNAcentral lists this unclassified non-coding RNA (967 nucleotides) under Hevea brasiliensis (rubber tree). The record is from RNAcentral. Lineage: Eukaryota; Viridiplantae; Streptophyta; Magnoliopsida; Malpighiales; Euphorbiaceae.